CUCAAGGAUGAGCGUCCUGAUAGGGACAACUUAUGCAAAUUAAAUGAUGCGGUCAGGGAGAGGAUAUUUUAGUAGAUGCUCCUCGAUUUUUCUGAUU
RNAcentral lists this small nucleolar RNA (97 nucleotides) under Dothideomycetidae sp. 11243. Its description in RNAcentral is "fungal sp. No.11243 A. fumigatus snoRNA Afu_335". It matches the Rfam family "A. fumigatus snoRNA Afu_335". The record is from Rfam by way of RNAcentral. Lineage: Eukaryota; Fungi; Ascomycota; Dothideomycetes.